UGAUUUCAGUGGCAAACGGGUGAGUAACACGUGGGUAAUCUACCCUUAAGAAGGGGAUAACCCCGCGAAAGCGGAGCUAAUACCUUAUAAGACCACAUUCCGAUAACGGAAAGAGGUUAAAGCUCCGAUGUAAAUCGGAGUGCUUAAGGACGAGCCCGCGGCUGAUUAGCUAGUUGGUGAGGUAAUGGCCCACCAAGGCGACGAUCAGUAGCUGGCCUGAAAGGGCGAACAGCCACACUGGAACUGUGACACGGUCCAGACUCCUACGGGAGGCAGCAGUGAGGAAUUUUCCGCAAUGCCCGAGAGGGUGACGGAGCAACGCCGCGUGAAUGAUGAAGACCUUCGGGUUGUAAAGUUCUGUCAGAGGGGAAGAGGCGCUCCGACGUUACGUCGGAGCUGACGGUACCCUCAGAGGAAGUCCCGGCUAACUACGUGCCAGCAGCCGCGGUAAUACGUAGGGGGCAAGCGUUGUUCGGAAUUACUAGGCGUAAAGGGUGUGCAGGUGUCCUGACAAGCCCCGACUGAAAUCCUUCAGCUUAACUGAAGGACUGGUCGGGGAACUAUCAGGAUUGAGUAUAGGAGAGGAAAACGGAAUUCCCGGUGUAGCGGUGAAAUGCGUAGAUAUCGGGAGGAACACCAGUGGCGAAAGCGGUUUUCUGGCCUAAAACUGACGCUGAGACACGAAAGCUAGGGGAGCAAACAGGAUUAGAUACCCUGGUAGUCCUAGCCGUAAACGAUGGACAUUAGGUGUAGGGGCGUAUGCCUCUGUGCCGCAGCUAACGCAUUAAAUGUCCCGCCUGGGGAGUACGGCCGCAAGGUUGAAACUCAAAGGAAUUGACGGGGGCCCGCACAAGCGGUGGAGCAUGUGGUUCAAUUCGACGCAACGCGAAGAACCUUACCUGGGCUUGACAUUCAUCAAGUAGCGACCUGAAAGGGAAGCGACCCGUAAAGUCGGGAAGGUGAACAGGUGCUGCAUGGCUGUCGUCAGCUCGUGUCGUGAGAUGUUGGGUUAAGUCCCGCAACGAGCGCAACCCUUAUCCUUAGUUACUAAUUCCGAUUUAUCGGGAAGAACUCUAAGGAAACUGCCCCAGAUAAUGGGGUGGAAGGUGGGGAUGACGUCAAGUCCUCAUGGCCUUUAUGCCCAGGGCCACACACGUGCUACAAUGGCUAUUACAAAGGGCAGCAAAGCCGCAAGGUGGAGCUAAUCCCAAAAAAAUAGCCUCAGUUCGGAUUGAGGGCUGCAAUUCGUCCUCAUGAAGUCGGAAUCGCUAGUAAUCGCGUAUCAGCCACGACGCGGUGAAUACGUUCCCGGGCCUUGUACACACCGCCCGUCACACUAUGGAAGCCCGUUGUACCAGAAGAGGCCAAUCCAACCCGUAAGG
Molecule: ribosomal RNA, 1382 nt
Filed under: uncultured delta proteobacterium
Lineage: Bacteria; Deltaproteobacteria
Description: partial 16S ribosomal RNA
Rfam family: Bacterial small subunit ribosomal RNA
Source: RNAcentral